CACGCAGGCGGUGCGGCGCGUUUCGCGUGACAGCGGGGGGGCUUAACUCCCCGAGGGUGCGAAAGACGGCCGCACUUGAGGGCCAGAGAGGGACACGGAAUUCCGGGUGGAGUGGUGAAAUGCGUAGAGAUCCGGAGGAACACCGAAGGCGAAGGCAGUGUCCUGGCUGGUGACUGACGCUAAGGUGCGAAAGCCAGGGGAGCGAACGGGAUUAGAUACCCCGGUAGUCCUGGCCGUAAACGAUGACCACCAGGUGUGGGAGGGAUCGACCCCUUCUGUGCCGCAGUUAACACACUAAGUGGUCCGCCUGGGGAGUACGGUCGCAAGAUUAAAA
This 334-nucleotide ribosomal RNA is filed under the name uncultured bacterium. Its description in RNAcentral is "bacterial SSU rRNA". It matches the Rfam family "Bacterial small subunit ribosomal RNA", at positions 568 to 899 of the family's 1533-position model. The record is from RNAcentral.